This 494-nucleotide ribosomal RNA is filed under the name uncultured bacterium. RNAcentral describes it as "partial 16S ribosomal RNA". It matches the Rfam family "Bacterial small subunit ribosomal RNA", at positions 28 to 507 of the family's 1533-position model. The record is from RNAcentral.
GAUGAACGCUGGCGGCGUGCUUAACACAUGCAAGUCGAACGGUGAAGCGCCUUCCUUUUUGGUGGGUGUGGAUGAGUGGCGAACGGGUGAGUAACACGUGAGUAACCUGCCCCCUUCUUCUGGAUAACCGCAUGAAAGUGUGGCUAAUACGGGAUAUUCUGGGUCUGUCGCAUGAUGGGUCUGGGAAAGAUAUUGUUUCGGUGGGGGAUGGGCUCGCGGCCUAUCAGCUUGUUGGUGGGGUGAUGGCCUACCAAGGCGGUGACGGGUAGCCGGCCUGAGAGGGUGGACGGUCACACUGGGACUGAGACACGGCCCAGACUCCUACGGGAGGCAGCAGUGGGGAAUAUUGCACAAUGGGCGCAAGCCUGAUGCAGCGACGCCGCGUGAGGGAUGGAGGCCUUCGGGUUGUGAACCUCUUUCGCCAGUGAAGCAGGCCUGCCUCGUUUGUGGGUGGGUUGACGGUAGCUGGAUAAGAAGCGCCGGCUAACUACGUG